UGGACCCAGCUCGUAUGGAGUGAGGUGCAGUGUGACUAUGAACACUCAAGAUUUGGCUACACAAAGAGAAAUAAUAAGUGCUAUCCAAGGCAGCGAUACAAGUGGCUUGAAGGAUCUGUGGAUGGUUGCUUUUCCUCACAAUGUAAAAAUUGAGCUAACUUAUGAUGUGGAAAGUUUUCAAGAUAAGAUGACAAUACACUGUUUUUGUAUAAAGGCUGAAUAUAUGUAAUACUAUGUUCUUGAGAAUACUUCAUGCAUGUCUGUCCUCAAUCAGCAGAGGCAUGCUUUAAAGAAUUGGCCCAUGACCAUGGAAAGAAGACUGCUGGGAUGGCACUAGUUGGAAUCACUCCAGAGCACUAUCAGUCUACAGAACAGUGCUCUUAACAGUGACUGAGGCAGUGAACAGAACUGAAAUAUUAUGUGUAUGUUUUUUCCUACAGUGAGCUUUCUUCUUAUGUUUAAAUCUCAUCCAUGCAUCAUGCAUUGUGAGGGAAUUUGUUGCUGUAGACCUGAUUGCAAUGUUACAGUAGUGCAACUCAACUGACUUCUGCCUUGCAGCUACCACACAGUGCCAGCUGAAACACACUGAAACAGUUUCUCCAAAUUGAAACAAACAACAGCUCUGGUGU
Molecule: long non-coding RNA, 629 nt
Organism: Pezoporus flaviventris
Lineage: Eukaryota; Metazoa; Chordata; Aves; Psittaciformes; Psittacidae
Exons: 4
Source: RefSeq, a predicted model, not a curated record